UCCCUGGAGGACUAGUGGUUAGGCCAUGGCACUCUCACCGAUGUGGCCCGUGGUCGAUUCCCGGCCAGGGAA
Molecule: non-coding RNA, 72 nt
Organism: Pangasianodon gigas (Mekong giant catfish)
Lineage: Eukaryota; Metazoa; Chordata; Actinopteri; Siluriformes; Pangasiidae
Source: the annotation of a GenBank genome assembly